RNAcentral lists this small nuclear RNA (22 nucleotides) under Arabidopsis thaliana (thale cress). RNAcentral's name for it is "snRNA_17253". Lineage: Eukaryota; Viridiplantae; Streptophyta; Magnoliopsida; Brassicales; Brassicaceae. The record is from RNAcentral.
CAGCGGACUGCUCGAGCUGCUU